RNAcentral lists this unclassified non-coding RNA (202 nucleotides) under Hevea brasiliensis (rubber tree). Lineage: Eukaryota; Viridiplantae; Streptophyta; Magnoliopsida; Malpighiales; Euphorbiaceae. The record is from RNAcentral.
AUUUAAAAUUAAAUUUGAAAUGUUUUAAUCUCAAAAACUCCAAAACAAAUAAACAACUUUGUUUGAUAGCAUCUAAAACAGUGCUUUUCCAGAAAAACACCUUUUUAGCCUCCUAACCUCAGCCCCAAACAGGGCCAUAGUGUCAUACUCAAAUCAAUACAAAUAAUAGCAAAGAGGACAAAUAACAGGGGAAAGAAAACUU